GAUCAUGGCUCAGGAUGAACGCUGGCGGCGUGCCUAACACAUGCAAGUCGAGCGAAGCGAUCGAGAUGAAGUUUUCGGAUGGAUUCCUGAUCGACUGAGCGGGCGGACGGGGUGAAGGUAACGCGUGGGUAACCUGCCUCACACAGGGGGAUAACAGUUAGAAAUGACUGCUAAUACCGCAUAAGCGCACGGUACCGCAUGGUACAGUGUGAAAAACUCCGGUGGU
This 226-nucleotide ribosomal RNA is filed under the name uncultured bacterium. RNAcentral's name for it is "partial 16S ribosomal RNA". It matches the Rfam family "Bacterial small subunit ribosomal RNA", at positions 15 to 219 of the family's 1533-position model. The record is from RNAcentral.